Long non-coding RNA from Raphanus sativus (radish), 306 nucleotides. RefSeq lists it as uncharacterized. Lineage: Eukaryota; Viridiplantae; Streptophyta; Magnoliopsida; Brassicales; Brassicaceae. The transcript is spliced from 3 exons. The record is from RefSeq and is a predicted model, not a curated record.
AGAGUUUGGUAUUGGAGAUGACAAUGGUCCUGAGGCUUAGCUUUUCUCAUACGAGAAAAGGUAUCUUUGUAUUGGUCUUCUUGUGUGGUGUUUUUCUAAGUUAUGUUAUGCGGCAACUAGUAAAGGGACAUGGAGCAGCAAUGUUCUUUUUUCAUCGUGGAUGCUUCUUCAUUGUUCCCAGUUUUUCAUCGGCUAUUUGAGUUAUUUUAAGCUUAUGAACUUGAUCUAUCUUUUGUUAUGUUUUAAUGAGUUGUUAAACUAUGUUAAACUUAUGUUUUUUGGUUAAAGUUAUGCUUAUUAAGUUCU